UCCAAUUUGAAUAAAGGAAAUGGUCAGAUAUGGAAUGAUAACAGAGAAGAUCAGCAUGGCCUUUGUGCAUGGAUGACAUGCAAAUUUGUGAAGCAUUUUGUAUUUAU
Small nuclear RNA from Ictidomys tridecemlineatus (thirteen-lined ground squirrel), 107 nucleotides. NCBI's taxonomy places the organism in Eukaryota, Metazoa, Chordata, Mammalia, Rodentia, Sciuridae. The record is from Ensembl.